This 3972-nucleotide long non-coding RNA is filed under the name Homo sapiens (human). RNAcentral describes it as "PREDICTED lncRNA (TCONS_00070378)". The record is from RNAcentral. Lineage: Eukaryota; Metazoa; Chordata; Mammalia; Primates; Hominidae.
GUUGAUAUUGAGCUAUUACUAUAUGAAAAAGAAUAAUUUGUCAAGGAAAUUGAUUAGAAAAGGCUAGAGGAUGAUUGUUUAAUAAAUAAUUUUUAAAGCACUUUUAUAGCACCUAUUUGCACCAUAUAGGUACUGUGAAAAUGUAUGUAGAUAGCUCCAACGUACUGAUUUUAAGCCUUUUUCCUCUGUUAAAGAGCCACUCCUUAACAACUCCAGCUGUGGAAUGCUUUGUUAAUCUACUAGGGUGUUUUAGACUCUUGAAACUACUUAAUUAGAUUGCAUUUGUUAAGAUUCAGCAUUCAGAUCCUUUUUCUAAUCUGUGCUCCUUUCUUCUUAUCAUCCAUCAUAUACCUCCUCAUUGUGAUUAUACUGUAAAAUACUUUUUAAAGCCUACUGAUCUAAAGAUACAGUCUUUUAAAUACUAAAAGGCUUUUGGACUUAAAAUCUGUUGGAAGCUUAAAUUGAAAAAAUAGCUGCCACUUUAGGUGCAUAAAGUACUUUCAUAAUUAUUUGAUACCUCUUGUUAGAUGGCAGUUUCACCUUCUUCUUUCCAGUUUCUUUUUUCUUUUCUUUAAUAUUUGGUAAUUGCAGAUUUGAUGGUUAAAUUCAUAGGUUUUCUUUACUUAGGCCAAACUGUCAUUUCUCAUUUGUACAGAAUUGGAUAUGUCCCUGUGCAGAAGGGUUAGCUCAUUCUUUUCAUCUUUAAGCUUUUAAAAUUACUUAGUCUAAAUGUUGUUAGGUAAUGGAAUAACCAUUCCUUUUCAGCUUUUGGUACAUUUCCAAACUGGCUGGCAGAGCCAGGAGGAAGUGAAGGCAUUAGAAACACUAACUUUGGUUGGUUGCUACCGUCUUAGUGCUGAGACUAUAACCUUUGUUGGUUGAUUGAUAGAGAACAAGAGAACACAAUCCUCGUUCCACUAACAGGUAAGGAACCCUUGUGAUAACUAGUUGGUAUGAGAGGGAGAUUACUUGAUAGCAUUUCAUAAAAACUUUAUCCCAAAAUAUAACAUGUCCUAGAAAUAGGAUACUGUGACUGACUGUACUCCGUAGAACAAGGAUACGCAGCACCUUUAUAUUUAGAAUAAGAUCUGAAAUUUAAUAGGGAUGUAUUACUCUGUACCACAAAGCAUAAUUGAUCUGUUUUCCAAAGGCAACACUGUUAAAAUUUAUCCUGCAGUCCCUGUAACUUUAAAUAUGUAUCUGCCUAUCUUAUUCUCCUUUCAGCUUUUCCUUGAUCAGAUGCUAUGUGCUUUGAACUUCCUUCUCUUAUUUAUUCCUAUAAUAAAGCUAACUAUUUUCUAGUAUCUUUGCCAUCAUCUAUAAUUUGGGUAUAUCUUACUGCUUUAAUUUCUAUGUUAUAGCCAUUAAUGAUUAUUCCUGGUUCUUCUUGACCCAAAAGAAAAUGAUUAUGCAUUUUAAAAAGGAUUUUGAGUCUGUAUUGCCUAUAUCCACUAUUCUGCCUUCCCAGUUUUAAAGCUGAGUGCUUGAAGAAUAAAUCUUUUCAGUGACAGUAGUCAUAAGCUUUCAUAAAAUAUAGGCUUAGCUUUGUAUUGCUAUAAUAUGGGCCUAUAGUGUGAUUAAUUCUUUAAGUUAAUGAAGACUUGAACUCAGAGAAGAAAUUCAGCUUCUUAGACUUUCCCAAAGUUUAGUAGUAUUCCUGUUAAUAUACUUGGUUUUUUCUGUUUCUACUUUUCAGUCCAUCUUCUUUUCUUUGACAGAAGAAUUAACUGGGACUCCUCCUUUGAUAUAUCUGAGGUUGUGUGCCUUUUCCCUGUCCCUUAAAGACAACUAUGAUCUUGUUUCCAGUCAUAAUUUAUCAUUUUUGAUUUGGUCUUCCACUCAGAGUUGAGUGGUUUAUCACAGAGUGUGUUAUGGCUUAGACCAAUACAGGUCCCUUCUUAAUAGUUACUGAGGAAUUAAUCAUUUGUGGUGACAGACUUCUAAAAUUCAAAUUAAGAAGGCACUAAAGAAAGUAUGCCCAAAGGUAGCUCCUUUUUAUCCUGAGGAUUAAGCCAUUACAAACUCAAAUGACCAGAGAAUGUAAUUUCUUAAUAAGAAUUUUUCCUUAAAUCUAUAUUCAGCUCUCUAUUUCAGUGCUUCUCUCCUACCAGAGGUGCAAGGAGUGAUCCUAGAACCACAGAUACAGCCAAGACCACGGAGAGCUUUUGACGUCAGGGGUCCACUUUCUCCACUGAACCCUUGGAGACAGAAUAUCCAGCUUCUGGAGAGAGUGGGAAAGGAUAAUAAACAAAUUUCUUUCAACUGGUAAAACAUCAUACUUCUUCAGCAAAAGGAAUUCUUCUAGCAGAGCCUUCAUGGAUGAUAUCUGUCACACAUGCCAGCACCUGCAGUUUGGAAGGCAGUGGUGAAUGGAUCCAUGCAAUAUGUCUAGAAGACACAAGGAUGAGCCAGCCACCUGAUCUUGUCAUUUAUAAACUUUUAAGAAUUACUCUGGUUUACUUUUGGUCUGAAAAUGGAAAGGCCCAAAUAAUGAAAUAAUCUUUUCAGAUUGGAAUUUUACAUGGCCAUGAAAAUAUUUCUUUCUAUUCAGAAGACUGAAAUAGAGGAAGCUUGAGAGACUCCUUUCUUUUAAAAGCGGCUCUCUGUAUCUGUUUCAUUUAAAACAUUUGUGGGAUUGAAAAUCACCUUAAUGAAGUAGGCAAACAUUUUUUUAAGUAGUAGAGGAAGUCCAGAAAACUUAAUGAAAUGGUUUUUUUUGUUGCCUGACACUGAAAGUAACUAGUAAAUAAAGGGUGAACUUCUUAAUUAUUCGAAAACUGCUUUUAAUAUUAGGAUAUACUCUUUUAGCUCAUCUUCGCUGGUCUUGAGGCUUAUUAUAAUUGUCAAAUCAACAAAGUUUCUAAUAGAGAAGUAGAAGAAAUAUCUUUUGAGAUGUAAGUAGCUUGGUCUGUCUUCUAAAGUAAUACAUACCUGUUAAACUUGAGGUAUUUUUUUCAUACUGAAGGCAUUCUAAAGUUUGGUACUGUCACAAAACAGUAGUUUACAGAGCAGAAGCACUUAGUAUUAGAAUAAGCCUGUAGGUGUGAAGGAAUAAGUGUUGCAAAAUAGUUAUUUAUCCAAGCUGUCAAUUAAUUGAUUGAAGUAGUUAUCAAAAUGUUUCUGUUUCUUUCUUUGGUAUCUAUUAACUGGUCAGUCAAAAGCUAUUAAAGAAUGUUUUUAAAGUCACCUAAUGCUGCCAGUUUGUUAAAUUUGGUAUACAUUUUAAGAAUAGACAUUCUAGAGUUAUUAAUAUGGAAGCAGCUAAAAUGUUUUAGGAAAUCUCAAAAGUUUUAGAAGCCACAUUUGCUAAAGCAUAACCUGCACUUAGUCUUUCUUGGCUAUCUGUAUUUUUUUCUCAUUAAUUAUAAAUAAAUUUUUGUUAAGUAUAGUAUUUAAAAGUAAGUUUAAAGGUUCAAUUUGAACUGAAAUUUCCCCAGAGAGCUUUGAAUUCCCAUAAGUGAUUACAGCUUUUACUCCCGACUUGUUUUUAGUAAAUGUUAAUAAGACAAUUGGUUUACAAACACAUAUAAAUUAAAAAAAACAACUGUCCAUCGUUUUAGGAAGAACUGAAGGAACUAAAAAUGAUAUUUGCUUGGAAAUUAAGUUAGUUGAACUCUUUGAACCACAGUAGAAACCGCUUUGUGUGGCCUGUGAGAUUAUAAGCUUUUUGUUUCAGCUUUGAAGAUGAAAAGUGAUUUAAUCUCUUAAUCUCAUGCUUUGAUUGAAUUUUAGCUCUGUUCCUUAAAAUAUGCAAAAGGAAAUGUAAGUGCAUUUCUAGUCACCUCAUGCCACUACAAGCUAUUUAUUUAAAAGUGAAACUUUUUGUAUAUUAUUGUGAACUGAUUUGUUUAUUUAAACUUUUAUUUUGGUGAAUUUACCUUUGAGUUUUUUUAUAUUUUAUGUCACAAAAUGAAGUCCUAUAUUUUUCAGUGUUUAUGAAUAUUAAUAUAAACUAUUUUUUUCUAGAAUGAC